This is a small nucleolar RNA of Dioscorea cayenensis subsp. rotundata (Guinea yam), 107 nucleotides long. Lineage: Eukaryota; Viridiplantae; Streptophyta; Magnoliopsida; Dioscoreales; Dioscoreaceae. The record is from RefSeq and is a predicted model, not a curated record.
AACCCAUGUUAAGGGCAUUUCUGCAAGAGCUCAUUGAACCUAUCCCAUGUCUCAAAUAAAGAUUCCAAUUCCGUUUGCACAAAAGAGGAUAUUUAAUUCCUAAGCUU